This 253-nucleotide ribosomal RNA is filed under the name uncultured bacterium. RNAcentral's name for it is "partial 16S ribosomal RNA". It matches the Rfam family "Bacterial small subunit ribosomal RNA", at positions 524 to 776 of the family's 1533-position model. The record is from RNAcentral.
CACAGAGGUGGCAAGCGUUGUUCGGAAUUACUGGGCGUAAAGGGCGCGUAGGCGGCCUACUAAGUCAGACGUGAAAUCCCCCGGCUUAACCUGGGAACUGCGUCUGAUACUGGAAGGCUUGAGUAUGGGAGAGGGAUGUAGAAUUCCAGGUGUAGCGGUGAAAUGCGUAGAUAUCUGGAGGAAUACCGGUGGCGAAGGCGGCAUCCUGGACCAUUACUGACGCUGAGGCGCGAAAGCUAGGGGAGCAAACGGG